UUUUCAAUAAUACUUAAUUUUUUUUCAAGGUCGUUUCGAGAAUAUAUGGGAGAAAUAAAUUUGACGUUGAGAUAUAGUCUACAAAGACAACGAUUAAUAGUGGUAGUGCAUCGUGUAAAUAAUCUGUAUUACGAAGAACCCAAUGAAGAGAAAGAUAUCUACGUCAAGUUGUAUCUAUUACCAGAAAGAAGUAAGGCAACGAAAAGAAAAACCAGAGUCAUAAAAGGAUGCAAAAACCCAACCUUUGACAAGCGCUUUGAAUUUUUGGUUUCUCAAGACGAGCUCAAUUCCAAACACUUGGAAGUUACUGUGAUAGAAGAAAAAAUGAUAAAAAAUGAAAUAUUAGGACAGGUAAACAUGUACUUAUGACGCACUGUUUGGAACCUUUGAUGUAGUAAUGAAUAUUACAUAAAUUGACACAAUUUUUAAUGAAAUUUUGGAGACAUGUGUUCCUCUCAUAUGUAAUAAAACAAGGGCUUUCCCAAGCACGACAUCAGUCCUGAUGUCAGCCGCAGUAACAGAUGAAACGUUUGAGUAUGAGUAUGAUAAAUUGUACUGAAAGACGAGCUCAAUUCCAAACACUUGGAAGUUACUGUUAUAGAAGAAAAAAUGAUAAAAAAUGAAAUAUUAGGACAGGUAAACAUGUACUUAUGGUGCACUGUUUGGAACCUUUGAUGUAGUAAUGAAUAUUACAUAAAUUGACACAAUUUUUAAUGAAAUUUUGGAGACAUGUGAAUCUGUAAUGAAUAGAAAUGCCCCUAUUGAAAUAUGUUACCAUAACCCUAGCAGAACUCAAUCUACCCCACACUGGAAGUUUUGAUUUAGGUGCACGGGAUAAACAUGAAUAGAUCUUGUUACACAAUGUUAUAUUUAUUGUUGAUGAGAAUAUAUUACACAUAAAAUAUUUCA
Unclassified non-coding RNA from Leptinotarsa decemlineata (Colorado potato beetle), 909 nucleotides. Lineage: Eukaryota; Metazoa; Arthropoda; Insecta; Coleoptera; Chrysomelidae. The record is from RefSeq and is a predicted model, not a curated record.